This 29-nucleotide non-coding RNA is filed under the name Homo sapiens (human). Lineage: Eukaryota; Metazoa; Chordata; Mammalia; Primates; Hominidae. The record is from RNAcentral.
UGAAACAAAAAUCAAAUGAACAGCAGGAC